UGGCGGGUCGUCUAAUGGUAGGACAACAGAUUUUGGUUCUGUUUAUCGGGGUUCGAGUCCCUGCCCGCCAG
This 71-nucleotide transfer RNA is filed under the name Candidatus Saganbacteria bacterium. Its description in RNAcentral is "tRNA-Gln". It matches the Rfam family "tRNA". From Rfam's summary of the family: Transfer RNA (tRNA) molecules are approximately 80 nucleotides in length. Their secondary structure includes four short double-helical elements and three loops (D, anti-codon, and T loops). Further hydrogen bonds mediate the characteristic L-shaped molecular structure. tRNAs have two regions of fundamental functional importance: the anti-codon, which is responsible for specific mRNA codon recognition, and the 3' end, to which the tRNAs corresponding amino acid is attached (by aminoacyl-tRNA synthetases). tRNAs cope with the degeneracy of the genetic code in two manners: having more than one tRNA (with a specific anti-codon) for a particular amino acid; and 'wobble' base-pairing, i.e. permitting non-standard base-pairing at the 3rd anti-codon position. The record is from RNAcentral. Lineage: Bacteria; Bacillati.